RNAcentral lists this small nuclear RNA (154 nucleotides) under Catagonus wagneri (Chacoan peccary). Its description in RNAcentral is "U1 spliceosomal RNA (ENSCWAG00000007004.1)". It matches the Rfam family "U1 spliceosomal RNA". Rfam says of the family: U1 is a small nuclear RNA (snRNA) component of the spliceosome (involved in pre-mRNA splicing). Its 5' end forms complementary base pairs with the 5' splice junction, thus defining the 5' donor site of an intron. There are significant differences in sequence and secondary structure between metazoan and yeast U1 snRNAs, the latter being much longer (568 nucleotides as compared to 164 nucleotides in human). Lineage: Eukaryota; Metazoa; Chordata; Mammalia; Artiodactyla; Tayassuidae. The record is from Rfam by way of RNAcentral.
GGCGGGGGAUAUACCAUGAUCGCGAAAGCUGCUUUCUCGGGGUGAGGCUCACCCACUGCACUGCGGGUGUGCUGACCUCUGUGAUUUUCCCAAAUGCAAGAAGCUCGACUGCGUAACUGGCGGUGGUGGGAGACUGCAUUUGCACGGUCUCCCC